GAUGAACGCUAGCUACAGGCUUAACACAUGCAAGUCGAGGGGCGAGCAUGGAUUUACUUCGGUUAGAUUUGAUGGCGACCGGCGCACGGGUGCGUAACGCGUAUCCAACCUUCCCGUUACUCUGGGAUAGCCCUUCCGAAAGGGAGAUUAAUACCGGAUGGUGUUCAAAUGGUGCAUAUUAUUUGGAACUAAAGAUUUAUCGGUAACGGAUGGGGAUGCGUGACAUUAGAUAGUAGGCGGGGUAACGGCCCACCUAGUCUACGAUGUCUAGGGGGUUCUGAGAGGAAGGUUCCCCCCACACUUGGAACUGAGACACGGUUCCAGACUUCCUACGGGGAGGCAGCAGUUGAGGAAUUAUUGGGUCCAAAUGGUCCGGAAGACUGAACCAGCCAAGUUAGCGUGAAGGGAUUGAAGGUUCCUAUGGAUUG
RNAcentral lists this ribosomal RNA (428 nucleotides) under uncultured bacterium. RNAcentral describes it as "bacterial SSU rRNA". It matches the Rfam family "Bacterial small subunit ribosomal RNA", at positions 28 to 425 of the family's 1533-position model. The record is from RNAcentral.